This 507-nucleotide ribosomal RNA is filed under the name uncultured Glomus. RNAcentral describes it as "SSU rRNA". It matches the Rfam family "Eukaryotic small subunit ribosomal RNA", at positions 569 to 1078 of the family's 1831-position model. The record is from RNAcentral. Lineage: Eukaryota; Fungi; Glomeromycota; Glomeromycetes; Glomerales; Glomeraceae.
AGCAGCCGCGGUAAUUCCAGCUCCAAUAGCGUAUAUUAAAGUUGCUGCAGUUAAAAAGCUCGUAGUUGAAUUUCGGGACCAUCAUGUUGGUCGUGCCUCGGUACGUACUGGCAUUGUUGGUUUCUCCCUUCUGACGAACCAUGAUGUCAUUUAUUUGGUGUUGUGGGAAAUCAGGACUGUUACUUUGAAAAAAUUAGAGUGUUUAAAGCAGGCUCACGCUUGAAUACAUUAGCAUGGAAUAAUGAAAUAGGACGUUUGAUUCUAUUUUGUUGGUUUCUAGGAUCGACGUAAUGAUUAAUAGGGAUAGUUGGGGGCAUUAGUAUUCAAUUGUCAGAGGUGAAAUUCUUGGAUUUAUUGAAGACUAACUACUGCGAAAGCAUUUGCCAAGGAUGUUUUCAUUAAUCAAGAACGAAAGUUAGGGGAUCGAAGACGAUCAGAUACCGUCGUAGUCUUAACCAUAAACUAUGCCGACCAGGGAUCGGAUGAUGUUAAUUUUUUAAUGACUCA